GCGUUUAAUCUCACUUCACUUUCUUUCUUCCUGCUUUUCCUUUUACGCUUCCCAGUUUUCCCGCCUCCCUUUGGCUGCACCUCCCCUUCUCUCUUCCAGUUGCCCUGGUUUCUCAGCUUCCUGCUCCUGUCACAACCCUUUCCCCACUUCCUAUUCCACUCCUUUGUUUCUCCCUCUCUUCUCUGCUAUCUUCUGUCUCUCCAUCUCCUCAGGUCCUGGCUGAGGAUCCUUGGUUCCUCUAAUAUUAUCCAAUCAGUAAUAUCUUAAGGGGGCAUUUCCUGGUGUAUGGCCCAUCCUCUUACAGCCAUACAAGGUAAGAGUGGAAUGUCUCAGCUUCAUAAGAGCGAGACGCUGGGAGGAGAGGGCGACCCAUUCUGAUGAGCAGUCGUGCCACGAGCUCCCACUUAAUGUGGAAAAAAUCGUAACUUUAGGGAAUUUUAAAGGAAGCCAGAUACGUUUGUGACCUCAUCACCAGCAGCUACCAAACAAGAGACACAACCAAAGUAAAGGGCAGUUAAUUCCUUUCACCAGGCAACGCUGAGCACCCGGCGAGUGAAGAUGAAAAGCAGAGUCCUCUCAUCAGCCCAGCGGCGCCGCAGCUCGCCGACCUGCAGCAGAGAGUCAGGACACUGCUUUGUUGUGGUAAGUGAGAAAAGAUGGAAGAGGAGAAUAUGUGGAAGCAACAUCCUGGGUAAGAGCAUUCCUCAUAUAUUCCCAGUUUAGCUGUUAAUAAAGUUUAUGGAGAAGUACAAACGAGAACAACACGUUUCAUUAAAUCCAUCUGAUAAAGAUUCAUGCAUUUAAUGAAGCGCUGCUUACUUUCACUCAGUUACCUUGUUCUCUCUCUGAGUGUUGGGCCGUAAUACAGGAGAGCUUUCAUCUGCUUAAUCACACUGACAGCUGCAGACUGACUUUAUCCAUUGCAGGUUAGCAGUUUGCUUUUCUUUGUAAGGCAGGGUCACAGCAGCAGCACGGUGGGCGCGCUGACACCAUGAGCCCGUGCUGCUGCCGCCCCUGUGAGGUCCGUGACGGACGUGAGAAAGUGUGCAGGCAGAGAGAGAGGGAGGAAAUGCUGUAUUUAUUUCCCAAGGAGUCAAAAUUCUUAAGGGCAGUUAGGAGGACAUUCACAUAACCCCCUGUACACACUCAGACUCUCACACAAGUUCCCUGUGGGACCAAAGAGCAGCGAUUCCCAGGACAAUUUUCACAUGGAAGGCGAGGGGGUUCGUGGUGAUGCUGUUGGUGUGGGAGUGGGUCUGUGAAGUGGGAAGCCAGAGUCUGUUCACACAGAUUUUCGAUGCUUCUCUGCAUUUGUUACCCGUUUGCCGCGCAGCAAUACAUCCCAUAAUUAUCAGACGUUUCGUGAGGCAGCACUUUGUGCUUUUUAUACUUUUCGCUCUUCAUUCGUCUUCACACAAAUGUCACACUUUGAGUCUUUUGAUCCUAAUGUGUAAAAAGCCGCUCGAGCGGCCGCGUGUUCGCCUCAGGUGUCUGUGGUGCUGACGCCGCGUCGGCUGCUGUAACGUCUUUUCCUGCCUGCACACAAAACGGGAAAGUCAGAUGGGGUCAUGUGACUCUGCAGAGCCCACACAAACGUUUAGAUUAAAUACUUGUAGAUAUUUACAGUGUUUAACGUCCUGCCAUGUUUUUAGCUGAUAUUUGUCCGAAGUGGUUUAGGUAGUUGUUUCUUCUCGUUCAGGUUCCUGUUCUCAGGGUGGGAGGCUGAAGAAACCACGACUCCUUCGUAUGGUUGCUUUCCCUGAUUCUUCCCUAAUUAGAGGCCACACUGUCAGCUGAUCAGGACCCAGCUCGCCUCGGUGCUCACAUGCACAUGACCAUUUUUGGUAGUAAUGAUGAUUUAAGCUUCUUUUAUGGCUCCUGCUGCUUUUGCAGAAGCCGUGACUUUGUUUACCAUUUCAUUGGCUACACGAGGCUGUCCUGCAGCUUUUAUUUGAAAAAAGAUGAAUUCCACAAACAUAGGUGUCACCUGUCAGUGAGAGAGGGGGGGCACUCGAGUAAGGAUGUGACAGAUGGGGAGAGGGGCUUCCUGUGUGUGAUUUAGGGAGCCAGGGGGAAGAGAAAGAAGACCAUAUUUGGCAAUGUUUGUCUUAGCAUAAGACACGGCUCUGACUGUUAUCACACUCUGUCUAAACACACACAGAUUCCCAGCAGCUAAACGUCACUGAUUACAGACGAGCUUCAUUAACAUGUAAUGAUUAGUUCAGACUGGGUCGCUGCUGUAAAGAUGUUAUUCAUCAUGCUCUUAUAUUCAGAGAUUAUUGGGCUUUUUUUAGCAACAGCAAACUGCAAAACCACCGCUGCUCCCCACAGGAGGAAAUGUUCAGUUUAUCAGGAGAAACUUUAUUUCUGUCAUUUAAAUGCAAAGUGCACCAAAAUGUAUUUGAAUCCUGGGAGCUGCAGGUUUUGUUUUCUCUCGUUUCUAUUAGAAACCCGCAGGACACAAUAUUGGCUUCAUAGACCAUGUGAGCGCACAAACUGCACGUGGAAAAAUGUCUUUGCAACGUUGUUUUGAUGUGAAUGCAUUUGUGGAGAACGUCUCUUCAGAUAUGAGCCACUCUGGGACUGUGGCCUUUCUCACACACAGCCAGCCACUGUGUGUGAGAAAGGCAAACAGCUGGGUUUUCUUCUUAAUAUGGUCGUGCUGAGCCAAACGCACACGGAGCAGGACCGAGUGAGAUAAAGACCUCCUCUCUCUGCUGCCUUUUAAGUGAGUCUUUUACUGGUGUGACUAGAAAAGGGAAUGUUGCUGCCGAAGGAGGAGGUGCGGGUGAAGGUUGGGGGGGGGGGGGGGUCACAUACUAUCAGUGGGAGCGAUCGCAGACUGGAAGAGGGAAUGUUUAUCCAAAGCAGUGAUCCCAUUUUCCAUGAUCCUCAAAAUAAGAGACUUGCCUUAUAUGGUCAGACUGGGAGUUUCCAGCUGAGCAGAGUCAGAACGUUUGUGGAAAACACCCGGCCUCUGCUUCUCCCAUUGCCUUAAGUGUCUCAGUCUGCUGCACCUUCCUUUGAUGGAUGAACAGCUCGGAAAAAGGAAUUCUAUGAAUAAUCACUGCUUAGUAGUUCUCCCAGAUGGAUCCGGAGUAACGUGCCGGUCCAUCCCGAGCCUUCGGGAGAGUUUUAGCUCUCAUCCAAACUGUGGGCGAGAUGAACAGCUUUCUGAGACUGGCCCAAACAGCAGCGGCAUGUUCCCGUGUCACAGACCAGGACCAGGCCACAGCAGAAUCCAUGUUUGAGUGCACUCCUCGCUUACUGAGACGGCCGUUGUAAAGGGCGUCUUCUGUUUCUACUCGUGUAUGUUGCAGAUGUCUUUCAGGUGUUUCAGGUGCACAAAACUCCAAAACCUGAGACGAUGUGUGUGACUGCGUGCACACAGAAGCUGAACCAGCACGGGACACCGGUGCACGGCUACCAAAUCAAAUCAUCUGUGGCUCGAUUAUGCCUGCAGAAAUGUUUGAACUCUGCACUUCAUUUUCCUUCCAUCCCUGCGGCCCAUGGUGCAGUGCUGCAUCUCUGGUCAGUUGGUAGUCUGAGAUGAAGCACUGUAGCUCGGGACGGAGGGCGCAAAUACCAAUUUAAACAUAUCCACCACCAGGACACGUAGCCCAGCAGCAGGUCUCCACAGACCUCCUGCUGGAAUAGGAAAAAAUCCCGGAUCCUGUGAAAGGAGGCAGCUGCAGGCAUGGCUUGGAUUUUAGGUGACUGGACUAUUAAAUUGAAUUUAUAACUAUUCCAGUUCUAACAAUGCUGCUUUGUCCCAUUUCAAGAACAAACGAAAUUGGAAACAAGCUGAGAACAAACUGUACCUUCCUCUUCUCCUCUCUCCUGGGGUCCAGUUUUCCCAGGAAUCCCUUGACCUAUCAGAAAGGGGGAUUCCUGGAAAUACUGUUCUUGGGGGUGGGGCUUAUCAGCAAUCCUUUAUGCUUUAACUGUAUAAUAAAACGGAUUAUUUGCACUGACUGACUUUUGAAUUCAUGUAUUUUUAAACACAAGAGAAACCAAAGUGAGGAGCGGCUGUAAUGUUACCGUGAUGGAGAAAUAUUUACUGUCACACGUCGUUAGGUGAAGAUGGAAGAAUAACUGGUUUUACGUUUUAUUUAAAAAGAUUUCAUCCUGAACAUGCAGCGUUUUUGUGUGUGUGUCAUGAUCCCGCCUGUGCUGCAGUACUAUGUUGUUCGUCUGUUCAGAAACAAUAAAGAAAAGUCCUCGUGACUGUUCCAA
Haplochromis burtoni (Burton's mouthbrooder) is the source of this 4236-nucleotide long non-coding RNA. RefSeq lists it as uncharacterized. The record is from RefSeq and is a predicted model, not a curated record. Lineage: Eukaryota; Metazoa; Chordata; Actinopteri; Cichliformes; Cichlidae. The transcript is spliced from 3 exons.